This 222-nucleotide long non-coding RNA is filed under the name Mytilus galloprovincialis (Mediterranean mussel). Lineage: Eukaryota; Metazoa; Mollusca; Bivalvia; Mytilida; Mytilidae. The record is from RNAcentral.
CAAACUUCAAUUCAUCGUAUUAUAAAAACGUAAAUGUAUGGCUUGGAUGGAAUGUAGUCACAUUGACACUCAUACCACAUCUUCUUAUAUCGAUGUGUAGGGUACUUUUGAUAAGGCCUUCAAACAUUAACUUAAACUACCGGUUAACCGGUUAAUCGGUCGAACGAUUAUACGAGUAACCGGUUAGGCAAAAGUGUACGAUUUGACAACACUAUAGUUUAU